UAGGGUAGUUUGGGUCAUUGAGUGACUGCAGUAGAUGGAUGGGAGUAGGGUGUAAGGAUUUUGCCCAAAUGCUCUCUGCACCAGUGUAUUUUUCUUCCCUGAUAAUAGGCACAAAAUCUGUGUUAGAAGCUUGUGUUGGAAAUCAUACAAAAGAGUCUACUACUCAUAUAUUUUAUCAAGGAACCUGGAAGCAUGGGACACAGUUUGUGGAAGGUUCUUCUGUUCUUGCAGCAGCAAUGCAUUCCCAGUGGCUCUGCUCCUUCAUUCACCUAGACCUCAGACCAAGCAGUGCCCCGAGAUGCAAGUCCAGGGCCUUGUGAAGGCACCCUCAGAAUUAUCCACUUCUGGCCCAGCUACAGUAAGGCACUGAAAUAGGGCUUGAGCUGUCUCAAAGGUUGGCCUUGGACUUGGGAUCCUUCUGCCUCAGCCUCCCUAGCAUUGGGAUUACAGCUCUUUGCAUAGGAACCAAUGGAUCUAUAAGCCUUCAGAGGUCAUGAAGAGUUGGGUUUGUCAACCACAGAUUUAUAGCGCAAGAAGGAGUUUAUUUAAGGUCUUCAACCCCUGAACAAACGUAGCACAGGUAAAACAUGAGUCUGUUUUCCACUGUUACAGCAAAAUACCUGAAGCUGUGUACUUUGUAAAGAAAAGCUAUUUAGCUCACCAAUUUAGAGGCUAAAGAUCUAAAAUCAGGAAGCCUCUUGCAUUUGGCCUCUGGUGAGGCCCUUCCUUGGCUGCAUCACACAAUGGCUAAUGGCAUCAUAGCAGAUGGCCAAAAUGUGUGUGAGACAGAGAAGGUCACAUGUGAAACAGGAAACCAAAAGGAGACCCAGGCUGCUCUUUCAUAACAACAAUGUGCUCUCAUGAGAAAAACCAACUCAUGCUGUGAGACCAGCAUUGAUCCUUUCCAACGUGUGACCAUUAAUCCUGACAUGGCAAUUUGACUGGAUUGAAAAAUGCCUAGCAGAUUAGUAACACACAGGUCUGGGUGUGUCUGUGGAGGUGAUUGGCAGGUAGGCCAGCAAACUGGGUGGUAACAACCAAUAGGCUCAUAGCCUGGUCAGAAGAAAAAGGGAAAGAAGGAAGUUCAUCCAUUUUUGAAGAGCUCCAGUCUUCUUGAGCAAGUGUAGCCUUUCCUGCUAUUGUCUCCAGUUUCUUCAGCCUUCCAACACAGACUCACACUAGUGACUCUCCAGCGAGCCUUCAGGACUUCGACUUUAGACUGGUGCUGUAUCCUUGAUUCCUCUUGUUCUGUGGCUUCCAUCUUCUUCAGCUGAGCAGCGACUGGAUUGUCUCAAUCUCCAGCACAUAGAUGAUUAUCAUGGAUUCUUCCACUUCUGAUCUCACAGAUGGCCAUUGUGGACUCUCCCCACUUCUGAUGCUAUAAGCCCACCUAAUAAAUUCCCUUGUAUAUGAUACAUGUAUUUUCUCUUGAUUCUGUUCCUCUAGAGAAUCUUAACUAAUGCACAAAGGUGGAACCCCU
Molecule: long non-coding RNA, 1480 nt
Organism: Heterocephalus glaber (naked mole-rat)
Lineage: Eukaryota; Metazoa; Chordata; Mammalia; Rodentia; Bathyergidae
Source: Ensembl